UGAGGGAUGUGACAAAGCAGCAACCUGCUCUGUACUGCUGAGGCCUUGCCUGUUCCCUUGGCAGUGCCCAUGCUCAGGCCCGGUUAGAGAGUCCUGUGGUUUCACAAACACCUUUGUGGUGCAUUUCAUGUGGAGAAAUACAGCACGGAAAAGUGAUUUAUUGGAUAGCGGAGCACCAAGGACCAGGGGGUGCCCUGCAGCCCUCACGGCCAGCAAGUCCCAAAGAGUAGCUACACAAGUGCUGCUCUUGGCAAAGUGUAGUCACCACAUUUGUCUUGACAGACCAAGGACACAAACUUGGAGCUCUCGUGUCACCUCUUGGCCACUGUGACCUGCCAGCAUGGAGUGCUCUGCCUGGAGUGCACGUGAGGGAGUUUGCAGCCUGGCUCGUGGUUUCCCCUGGUGCUGGGGAGUGGAGGCGAGUUGUGCUUCCUGCUGGGAGAGAGAAGGGCCUUGGGAAGCUGCUCCAUGAGCCACAGCUGUGCCGAGCCCGGGAGUCUGUCCAGCAGGAUGUGGAGUGCCACCAUGUCCCCGAGGUCACCCUUUCUGCUGCUGGGAGAGCACAAGGUGGAUGGAGAGGAUCCCCAGGCAUCUGCAGGCACAAAGGACUCGUACAACUGCGAUUUUCCUCCAGCCCUCGUGAGAGGGACUUUGAGGGUACCCUGGGUAAUGUGCCAGCUCUCCUGCUGGACUGUUUGUCUUCUGCUGUAUUUGAACACAAAGAGUAAAACUAAAGUCAGGUGUGUUCUGGAGUAUGUUACACUCGUGCAAAGCUCCUUCCCUCUGUUUAUUUUCUGUUCUGGAAAGCAGAGUCUGGGGUUCCUGGUCACUUCAUGUUAAAUGAUUCCCUGAAAAUAAUUUGGUACUGAAAGGGGAAAAGAGCUGUCUGUGGGAGGUCAGGUGUCCCUGAUAAAAGCUUUAUGCUUUUUCAGUCAAUAAGCUCCUUAUAUAUCUUAGUCUGUAGGAAUGCCUGGCUUGUAAAACUCACCAGCUGAGUCUUAGAGGCUUCUUUGAAGAGCUGAGUUCAGGCAGCAAAAUUGCCCCCCCAGGAGGGACUCUGUGCCUGCUCUCCCGU
Molecule: long non-coding RNA, 1075 nt
Organism: Pipra filicauda (Wire-tailed manakin)
Lineage: Eukaryota; Metazoa; Chordata; Aves; Passeriformes; Pipridae
Exons: 3
Source: RefSeq, a predicted model, not a curated record